AAAAUUUAAAAUAAAAAUACUAAAAUAGUAAUUAAAUAUUUAUUGAAACUUAAAUAAUUUGGCGGUAUUUUAGUUCAUUUAGAGGAAUCUGUUUAAUAAUUGAUAUUCCACGAAUAAAUUUACUUAUUUUAUAAUUUUGUAUAUCGUUGUUAUAAAAAUAUUUUUUAAUAAAAUUAAUAUUUAAAAAUUAAUAAAAAAAAAUUAAAUCAGAUCAAGAUGCAGAUUAUAAAUAAGAAUAUAAUGGAUUACAAUAAAUUUAUUUAAAUGGAUUUUAAUUUGUAAUAUUUAAUUAAAGGUGGAUUUAAAUGUAAUUUUAUUUAAUUUAAUAAAAUGAUUAAAAAUUAAAAUAUGU
Molecule: ribosomal RNA, 352 nt
Filed under: Sesamia oriaula
Lineage: Eukaryota; Metazoa; Arthropoda; Insecta; Lepidoptera; Noctuidae
Description: partial 12S small subunit ribosomal RNA
Source: RNAcentral